AGAGUUUGAUCCUGGCUCAGGACGAACGCUGGCGGCGUGGAUUAGGCAUGCAAGUCGAGCGACGGACCUUCGGGUUACGGAGCGGCGAACGGGUGAGUAACACGUGAACAAUCUACCCUCUCAUUCCGGAUAAUUGGCCGAAAGGCCUUGUAAUACGGGGGAGGUUCCAUUUUAGGCAUCUUUAGUGGAACGAACAGGAAACUGGUGCGAGGAGGAGUUCGCGGAUUAUCAGGUAGUUGGUGGGGUAACGGCCUACCAAGCCUACGACGAUUAGCUGGUCUGAGAGGAUGGUCAGCCACAUUGGAACUGAGAUACUGUCCAGACUCUUACGGGAGGCUGCAGUCGAGAAUCUUGGGCAAUGCACGAAAGUGUGACCCAGCGACGCCGCGUGAAGGAUGAAGGCCCUCUGGGUUGUAAACUUCUUUUACGGGAGAAGAAUCAAUGACGGUAUCCCGUGAAUAAGCCACGGCUAACUACGUGCCAGCAGCCGCGGUAAUACGUAGGUGGCAAGCGUUGUCCGGAUUUACUGGGCGUAAAGGGCGCGUAGGCGGCGUGACAAGUCACUUGUGAAAUCUCCGGGCUUAACUCGGAAUGGUCAAGUGAUACUGUCGUGCUAGAGUGCAGAAGGGGCAAUCGGAAUUCUUGGUGUAGCGGUGAAAUGCGCAGAUAUUCGGAGGAACACCAGUAGCGAAGGCGGCUCGCUGGGCCACACCUGACGCUGAGACGCGAAAGCGUGGGGAGCGAACAGGAUUAGAUACCCCAGUAGUCC
RNAcentral lists this ribosomal RNA (769 nucleotides) under uncultured soil bacterium. RNAcentral describes it as "bacterial SSU rRNA". It matches the Rfam family "Bacterial small subunit ribosomal RNA", at positions 8 to 796 of the family's 1533-position model. The record is from RNAcentral.